UUUGAUCCUGGCUCAGGACGAACGCUGGCGGCGUGCUUAACACAUGCAAGCCGAACGCUGAACCGGUUUUCGGAUCGGGGAUGAGUGGCGAACGGGUGAGUAACACGUGGAUAACCUGUCCUUUGCUCUGGGAUAAGCCUUGGAAACGAGGUCUAAUACCGGAUAUGACCGCAUCGCGCAUGUGGUGUGGUGGAAAGUUUUUGCGGCAGGGGGUGGAUCCGCGGCCUAUCAGCUUGUUGGUGGGGUGAUGGCCUACCAAGGCGACGACGGGUAGCCGGCCUGAGAGGGUGACCGGCCACACUGGGACUGAGACACGGCCCAGACUCCUACGGGAGGCAGCAGUGGGGAAUCUUGCACAAUGGGCGCAUGCCUGAUGCAGCGACGCCGCGUGAGGGAUGACGGCCUUCCGGUUGUANACCUCUUUCACCUGGGACGAAGGGGUAACUUGACCGGAACAGGGGAAGAACCA
This 469-nucleotide ribosomal RNA is filed under the name Lentzea aerocolonigenes. Its description in RNAcentral is "bacterial SSU rRNA". It matches the Rfam family "Bacterial small subunit ribosomal RNA", at positions 12 to 492 of the family's 1533-position model. The record is from RNAcentral. Lineage: Bacteria; Bacillati; Actinomycetota; Actinomycetes; Pseudonocardiales; Pseudonocardiaceae.